UAGGCAACAUAUACAGAGAGACAAGCUAGCCGGUAGCUGCCCACUAUUAACAAUAUCAAUAUUGUUCUUAACUUAGAGCAAGUCUAGCGCGCACUCAAAAUCGGGCAAAAGGUUGCCCUUGCGAGCCCAAACGACCUCCAGCGCGCAACCAACAGCACGGGCAAGGCCUGGGCCCACCAGCCUGGGUAAGCCCAAGGGCAGAUCUUGCCUGGGCUUCAGCCCGAGGGCGCUGAUGUUAG
This 239-nucleotide long non-coding RNA is filed under the name Prunus persica (peach). RNAcentral describes it as "long non-coding RNA (PPER_LNC001831)". Lineage: Eukaryota; Viridiplantae; Streptophyta; Magnoliopsida; Rosales; Rosaceae. The record is from RNAcentral.